GAUGAACGCUAGCGGCAGGCUUAACACAUGCAAGUCGAGGGGUAGCAGAGGUAGCUUGCUACCUGCUGACGACCGGCGCACGGGUGCGUAACGCGUAUAGAAUCUACCUUUUACUGGGGGAUAGCCUUUGGAAACGAAGAUUAAUACCCCAUAGUAUUGUUUUUUGGCAUCAUUAGACAAUUAAAGUUUCGGCGGUAAAAGAUGACUAUGCGUUCUAUUAGCUAGAUGGUAGGGUAACGGCUUACCAUGGCUACGAUAGAUAGGGGUCCUGAGAGGGAGAUCCCCCACACUGGUACUGAGACACGGACCAG
Molecule: ribosomal RNA, 311 nt
Filed under: uncultured bacterium
Lineage: Bacteria
Description: bacterial SSU rRNA
Rfam family: Bacterial small subunit ribosomal RNA
Source: RNAcentral